GACAGAGGGUGCAAACGUUGUUCGGAAUUACUGGGCGUAAAGCGCACGUAGGCGGCCUUGUAAGUUAGAGGUGAAAGCCCGGAGCUCAACUCCGGAAUUGCCUUUAAGACUGCAUCGCUUGAAUCCAGGAGAGGUGAGUGGAAUUCCGAGUGUAGAGGUGAAAUUCGUAGAUAUUCGGAAGAGCACCAGUGGCGAAGGCGGCUCACUGGACUGGUAUUGACGCUGAGGUGCGAAAGCGUGGGGAGCAAACAGG
This 253-nucleotide ribosomal RNA is filed under the name uncultured bacterium. RNAcentral's name for it is "partial 16S ribosomal RNA". It matches the Rfam family "Bacterial small subunit ribosomal RNA", at positions 524 to 776 of the family's 1533-position model. The record is from RNAcentral.